This 372-nucleotide ribosomal RNA is filed under the name uncultured organism. RNAcentral's name for it is "partial 16S ribosomal RNA". It matches the Rfam family "Bacterial small subunit ribosomal RNA", at positions 527 to 896 of the family's 1533-position model. The record is from RNAcentral.
GUAGGUGGCAAGCGUUGUCCGGAAUUAUUGGGCGUAAAGCGCGCGCAGGCGGUCCUUUAAGUCUGAUGUGAAAGCCCACGGCUCAACCGUGGAGGGUCAUUGGAAACUGGGGGACUUGAGUGCAGAAGAGAAGAGUGGAAUUCCACGUGUAGCGGUGAAAUGCGUAGAGAUGUGGAGGAACACCAGUGGCGAAGGCGACUCUUUGGUCUGUAACUGACGCUGAGGCGCGAAAGCGUGGGGAGCAAACAGGAUUAGAUACCCUGGUAGUCCACGCCGUAAACGAUGAGUGCUAAGUGUUAGAGGGUUUCCCGCCCUUUAGUGCUGCAGCAAACGCAUUAAGCACUCCCGCCUGGGAGUACGGCCGCAAGGCUG